GACGAACGCUGGCGGCGUGCCUAAUACAUGCAAGUUGAGCGAUGAAGAUUGGUGCUUGCCCCAAUUUGAAGAGCAGCGAACGGGUGAGUAACGCGUGGGGAAUCUGCCUUUGAGCGGGGGACAACAUUUGGAAACGAAUGCUAAUACCGCAUAACAACUUUAAACAUAAGUUUUAAGUUUGAAAGAUGCAAUUGCAUCACUCAAAGAUGAUCCCGCGUUGUAUUAGCUAGUUGGUGAGGUAAAGGCUCACCAAGGCGAUGAUACAUAGCCGACCUGAGAGGGUGAUCGGCCACAUUGGGACUGAGACACAGCCCAAACUCCUACGGGAGGCAGCAGUAGGGAAUCUUCGGCAAUGGACGAAAGUCUGACCGAGCAACGCCGCGUGAGUGAAGAAGGUUUUCGGAUCGUAAAACUCUGUUGGUAGAGAAGAACGUUGGUGAGAGUGGAAAGCUCAUCAAGUGACGGUAACUACCCAGAAAGGGACGGCUAACUACGUG
This 497-nucleotide ribosomal RNA is filed under the name uncultured bacterium. RNAcentral's name for it is "partial 16S ribosomal RNA". It matches the Rfam family "Bacterial small subunit ribosomal RNA", at positions 28 to 507 of the family's 1533-position model. The record is from RNAcentral.